This 490-nucleotide ribosomal RNA is filed under the name uncultured bacterium. Its description in RNAcentral is "partial 16S ribosomal RNA". It matches the Rfam family "Bacterial small subunit ribosomal RNA", at positions 30 to 507 of the family's 1533-position model. The record is from RNAcentral.
AUUGAACGCUGGCGGCAGGCCUAACACAUGCAAGUCGAACGGUAACAGGAAGCAGCUUGCUGCUUUGCUGACGAGUGGCGGACGGGUGAGUAAUGUCUGGGAAACUGCCCGAUGGAUGGGGAUAACUACUGGAAACGGUAGCUAAUACCGCAUAACGUCGCAAGACCAAAGAGGGGGACCUUAGGGCCUCUUGGCAUCGGAUGGGCCCAGAUGGGAAUAGCUAGUAGGGGGGGUAACGGCCUACCUAGGCGACGAUCCCUAACUGGUCUGAGAGGAUGACCAGCCACACUGGAACUGAGACACGGUCCAGACUCCUACGGGAGGCAGCAGUGGGGAAUAUUGCACAAUGGGCGCAAGCCUGAUGCAGCCAUGCCGCGUGUAUGAAGAAGGCCUUCGGGUUGUAAAGUACUUUCAGCGGGGAGGAAGGGAGUAAAGUUAAUACCUUUGCUCAUUGACGUUACCCGCAGAAGAAGCACCGGCUAACUCCGUG